Molecule: small RNA, 146 nt
Filed under: Penicillium digitatum PHI26
Lineage: Eukaryota; Fungi; Ascomycota; Eurotiomycetes; Eurotiales; Aspergillaceae
Description: A. fumigatus sRNA Afu_254
Rfam family: A. fumigatus sRNA Afu_254
Source: Rfam by way of RNAcentral
CUACCAUCCAAACACUACUCUCAGGCUUUUUCCAAGGUUCCUCGUCUGCCAAAUCUAUUCAUCAUGUCUCCCUGCAACUGCAACUGCUGCUCCGGCGACUGCAAGUCCUGCUCUUGCUCCACCUGCGCUGUAUGUCAUUGCUUGAU